GACGAACGCUGGCGGCGUGCUUAACACAUGCAAGUCGAACGGAAAGGCCCCUUUGGGGGUACUCGAGUGGCGAACGGGUGAGUAACACGUGAGUAACCUGCCCUUGACUUCGGGAUAACUUCAGGAAACUGGGGCUAAUACCGGCUAGGAAUCCUUGCUGCAUGGUGGGGGUUGGAAAGCUUCGGCGGUUUUGGAUGGACUCGCGGCUUAUCAGCUUGUUGGUGGGGUAGUGGCUUACCAAGGCUUUGACGGGUAGCCGGCCUGAGAGGGCGACCGGCCACAUUGGGACUGAGAGACGGCCCAGACUCCUACGGGAGGCAGCAGUGGGGAAUAUUGCACAAUGGGCGGAAGCCUGAUGCAGCAACGCCGCGUGCGGGAUGACGGCCUUCGGGUUGUAAACCGCUUUCAGCAGGGGCGAAGCUUGUGGUGACGGUACCUGCAGAAGAAGCACCGGCUAACUACGUG
Molecule: ribosomal RNA, 465 nt
Filed under: uncultured bacterium
Lineage: Bacteria
Description: partial 16S ribosomal RNA
Rfam family: Bacterial small subunit ribosomal RNA
Source: RNAcentral